Molecule: small nuclear RNA, 105 nt
Filed under: Anopheles minimus
Lineage: Eukaryota; Metazoa; Arthropoda; Insecta; Diptera; Culicidae
Source: RNAcentral
UUUAACUUCGGCUCGACAUAUACCAGAAUUAGAGAGAUACAGCAAAGAUUAGCAUGGCCCUUGCGCAAGAUUAAUACGCUAAACCUAGAGUGUUCCACAUUUGUU